UUUCCGUAGGUGAACCUGCGGAAGGAUCAUUCAUAAUAAGUGUUUUACUGCACUUUUUAAAAAUAGCACUCACCUUGUGUGCAAUGUUGUGUUUCUUUUCGGAGAUACACCUACACCAACCUAUAACCUUGAACCACUUUGUCUGAAAAACUAUUAUGAAUACUUAAUUCAAAAUACAACUUUCAACAACGGAUCUCUUGGCUCUC
RNAcentral lists this unclassified non-coding RNA (206 nucleotides) under plant metagenome. Its description in RNAcentral is "partial contains small subunit ribosomal RNA, internal transcribed spacer 1, and 5.8S ribosomal RNA". The record is from RNAcentral.